This 403-nucleotide ribosomal RNA is filed under the name Cherax dispar. Its description in RNAcentral is "partial 16S ribosomal RNA". It matches the Rfam family "Archaeal large subunit ribosomal RNA", at positions 2012 to 2615 of the family's 2987-position model. Lineage: Eukaryota; Metazoa; Arthropoda; Malacostraca; Decapoda; Parastacidae. The record is from RNAcentral.
GGUAUCAUGACCGUGCGAAGGUAGCAUAAUCAUUAGUCUCUUAAUUGGGGGCUGGAAUGAAUGGUUGGACGAGAAAUUAGCUGUCUUAGUUUUGAAAAUUGAAUUUAACUUUUAAGUGAGAAGGCUUAAAUGGGCUAGAGGGACGAUAAGACCCUAUAAAGUUUGUACAUUAAACUAAUUAAAGGUGGUUUAGGUUUAUAAAAUCUGCCAUUAGGGAAGUGUUUAGUUGGGGCGAUUGGGAUAUAAGUUAUCUAACUGUUUCUUUGUUUUAAUCAAAAAUAUUUGAGUUUAUGAUCCUUUUUUAGGAUUAAAGAGUAAAUUACUUUAGGGAUAACAGCGUAAUUUUUUUUGAGAGUUCUUAUCGAUAAGAGAGUUUGCGACCUCGAUGUUGAAUUAAAAUUUC